UGGAUCCGUAACUUCGGGAAAA
This 22-nucleotide small nuclear RNA is filed under the name Arabidopsis thaliana (thale cress). RNAcentral describes it as "snRNA_14450". The record is from RNAcentral. Lineage: Eukaryota; Viridiplantae; Streptophyta; Magnoliopsida; Brassicales; Brassicaceae.